GCUUUGAUCCUCUUAGGCAUGGAUUUUAAGAAGAAAAUAGAGAGAAAGGGUUCUUCUAUUCCUUCUUCUUCCUCCUCCUCUUGUCCUUGUUCUUUGAGAAGGUCUUAAGGAGUUGAAGAAAAUCUGUACCAAUCAUCAGGAGGUGUCUUCUUCAAAAGAGCUAACAUCUCGAUGAAGAUGCAGGCCUUUGAUAAGAUCGAAGGCUUCAUGUGGAUACCCGUAGAGUUUGGACGUGUGUGCGGCUCUGUAGGAACCUCAUCAGAUUAUUACGAUCAUCAGCUAUGG
This 285-nucleotide long non-coding RNA is filed under the name Elaeis guineensis (African oil palm). Its description in RNAcentral is "long non-coding RNA (EGUI_LNC029378)". Lineage: Eukaryota; Viridiplantae; Streptophyta; Magnoliopsida; Arecales; Arecaceae. The record is from RNAcentral.